AGUGAACGCUGGCGGUAGGCCUAACACAUGCAAGUCGAACGGCAGCACAGUAAGAGCUUGCUCUUACGGGUGGCGAGUGGCGGACGGGUGAGGAAUACAUCGGAAUCUACUUUUUCGUGGGGGAUAACGUAGGGAAACUUACGCUAAUACCGCAUACGACCUACGGGUGAAAGCAGGGGAUCUUCGGACCUUGCGCGAUUGAAUGAGCCGAUGUCGGAUUAGCUAGUUGGCGGGGUAAAGGCCCACCAAGGCGACGAUCCGUAGCUGGUCUGAGAGGAUGAGGAGCCACACUGGAGCUGAGACACGGUCCAGACGCCUACGGGAGGCAGCAGUGGGGAAUAUUGGACGAAGGGCGCAAGCCUGAUCCAGCCAUACCGCGUGGGUGAAGAAGGCCUUCUGGUUGUAAAGCCAUUUUGUUGGGAAAGAAAAGCAGCAGGUUAAUACCCCGCUGUUCUGACGGUACCCAAAGAAUAAGCACCGGCUAACUUCGUG
This 492-nucleotide ribosomal RNA is filed under the name uncultured bacterium. RNAcentral's name for it is "partial 16S ribosomal RNA". It matches the Rfam family "Bacterial small subunit ribosomal RNA", at positions 29 to 507 of the family's 1533-position model. The record is from RNAcentral.